GGGAAAAGUGCCUGAUACUUGAAACUGGAAAGAGGAAUGGGGAUCUCUGUUCUUUCUAAGUGCCCUUUGGUUUCUGUCACUGUCAGAAAGCCUUGCUGCUCUCAUCCACACCAGCUGUGGGCUCCCAGGGGUACAUUGCUAAGCUGGUGGAGUUCCAGAGUUCACAUUUUUGGCAUUGGCUAAAUCAGACAGUGUCCCUGCGUGUGGAUUCAUUGCCUCUGUGUACUGUAGGUCCCAGAUGAAGCUUGGCUGCCUGGUUUGAGGUGGAGUGCACUAUACUGACAGCAUUUGUUCCAACAGACCACAAAAGACCAUCUAUAAGAUAAGCACACAAAGAACCUGCACUCUCUUCUCCCCCUUCUUUUAACCCUUGCAUAACUAAAAAUCCUAUUUUCUUGCACACCAGUUAGACUGGGAAGCUGUCUGAGAGGAAGAAUAUCCUGCUGCCAGAUGCUCUUUUUUUUUUUUUUUUUUUCUUUCUUUUUUAUUCUAACACAGUUGUUUUUCUCUUCACUUGAUAAAGUUAAAAUAAACAGUCUCUAGGGUGAAUUACAGACGUCAAAAUUGGAUUGGCAUACAAACUGUAGAGCAGUUGGUGGUUGGGAGUCUGGGGAAAAAGAAACAGCAGGUUUUAGCUAGAGGGGACAACAGCUUUAUUUCCCUCUUGGUCCUUGACAACCAAGCAGAUGUCCUACGAUUAUUGUUUUACCUUCUAGUGAUAUAGUGCCUUUUCCUAUCCUCCCAGGUAUGCAACUGGCUCUCUUGCAGAUGUGCAGCCUUACAGGAUACCCAUUUCCAGUCCUAUGUAUGUAGGCACAACUGAUGGUCUUAAGAACAAGUUAUUUUCUGAUCAUCUUACACAGGCUUUUUCACACCUGUUUGCUUGCAAUCUUUGCAUCUGGGUUGAUGCCCUCCACUAUACACACAGGUAUUGUGACAGGAAUCUAGCUUAAUGAAGGGAAGGAAGCGUCUGAUUUCUUAGUCAAAUGGACAAGUGGUAAUAAAGCCUCAGCACCUCUUUGGAGAUGGGUCUGU
RNAcentral lists this long non-coding RNA (1035 nucleotides) under Anas platyrhynchos platyrhynchos (common mallard). Its description in RNAcentral is "lncRNA (ENSAPLG00000029707.1)". The record is from RNAcentral. Lineage: Eukaryota; Metazoa; Chordata; Aves; Anseriformes; Anatidae.